AGUCGAGGGGCAGCAUGAUUUGUAGCAAUACAGAUUGAUGGCGACCGGCGCACGGGUGAGUAACGCGUAUGCAACUUACCUAUCAGAGGGGGAUAGCCCGGCGAAAGUCGGAUUAAUACCCCAUAAAACAGGGGUCCCGCAUGGGAAUAUUUGUUAAAGAUUCAUCGCUGAUAGAUAGGCAUGCGUUCCAUUAGGCAGUUGGCGGGGUAACGGCCCACCAAACCGACGAUGGAUAGGGGUUCUGAGAGGAAGGUCCCCCACAUUGGUACUGAGACACGGACCAAACUCCUACGGGAGGCAGCAGUGAGGAAUAUUGGUCAAUGGCCGAGAGGCUGAACCAGCCAAGUCGCGUGAAGGAAGAAGGAUCUAUGGUUUGUAAACUUCUUUUAUAGGGGAAUAAAGUGGAGGACGUGUCCUUUUUUGUAUGUACCCUAUGAAUAAGCAUCGGCUAACUCCGUGCCAGCAGCCGCGGUAAUACGGAGGAUGCGAGCGUUAUCCGGAUUUAUUGGGUUUAAAGGGUGCGUAGGUGGUGAUUUAAGUCAGCGGUGAAAGUUUGUGGCUCAACCAUAAAAUUGCCGUUGAAACUGGGUUACUUGAGUGUGUU
Molecule: ribosomal RNA, 604 nt
Filed under: uncultured bacterium
Lineage: Bacteria
Description: bacterial SSU rRNA
Rfam family: Bacterial small subunit ribosomal RNA
Source: RNAcentral